This is a long non-coding RNA of Oncorhynchus masou masou (cherry salmon), 480 nucleotides long. RefSeq lists it as uncharacterized. The record is from RefSeq and is a predicted model, not a curated record. Lineage: Eukaryota; Metazoa; Chordata; Actinopteri; Salmoniformes; Salmonidae. The transcript has 3 exons.
GGUAUAGGUUGUGAAAGGGAGUUUCCACUCGUGUCCACCGAAUCUCUUCUCCCCCAGUUAUUUUCUGGGACACUGUACUAUACAACUUUAUUUGAUGGCAGAACAUUCAGAGGCUGUAAGCUUGACACAUGGCAAAAUGCUUCUGCUGUUUCUGAGUCUCAGUUUGCUCACUUCUAAUGUCCAGUCAGAAAAACAAGGGGUUAAUGUAACGUGUGAAAAUCAAUCGGUUGUUCCAGGACAGAACCACAACCUGACAUGUAGAGUGCAAUACAGUGAUGUAGGUCAGAAUAAUAUGGGAUGUAAAACUACAAAUUAUUUCUGGAAACAUAAAUCAAAAUCUCCAAUACGAAAUUGUGAUUGUAUAAAAGAUUGUAACACUACGAUAACAACCAACACCUACUUUUGUGAGAUCAAAAAUGUUACCAAAGCUGAUGAGGGAAACUACACUUUUACCAUUAACACAAACUGUGGCAACGGAGA